AAAAAAAAAAUCAAGUGACAGCCGGUUCAAGAUUUAACCCGGCUGGCGGCUUGGUUUUCCCGCCUUUUUUUCCCAAGCUGAUGAACUCAGUGGCCCCAUCAGCGCAGGGCAAGCGAGCGGUGUCCUUAGCGAGCGCAGUUUUAAAUAACUUCAUGAACUCUGGCCGCCUGGCCUAUUCGUCCCACCUUGACUGCGGCCUAAAAACCCGGCCGCAGAUGCCUGGUUCUUAUCGGCGCUGGCCUCUUGGUAUCAGCGCCUCGCGUCGGGCCCGGCGUACUACACGCCGCCGGCGCCCUUGGACUUUCAGAGGUUGGAAGGCGGUGCGUCAAGCUUGGAUCGCUCAUAUCGGCGCCAACCGCGCCUCGCUCCGGGUCGUUGUUGAUUCCUCGCCUCACGACCCUUGGACUUUAUAAAGGAGGGAGGCGGUGUGUCACGCUUGGGUCGUUUAUAUCGGCGCCAACCGCGCCUCGCGUCGGGUCGUUGUUGAUUCCUCGCCUCACGACCCUUGGACUUUUUAAGGGAGGGAGGCGGUGCGUCACGCUUGAUUCCUUCUGUAUCGGCGCCAACCGCGCCUCGGCUUCGGGCCUUGUGGUCUCCUCGUCUCAGGCCCUUGGACUUUCUGAAGUUAGGCGGCGGUGCGACACGCUUGGAUCUUACUAUAUCGGCGCCAACCGCGCCUCGGCUUCGGGUCGUUGUGGGUCCCUCGUCCCACGACCCUUGGACUUUAUUAGGGGAGUGGGCGGUACGACACGCUUGGUUCCUCUUGUAUCGGCGCCAACCGCGCCUCGGCUUCGGGCCUUGUGGUUUCCCCGCCCCAGGCCCUUGGACUUUCCGAAGGAAAGCGGCGGUGCGACAAGCUUGGGUCGCUCGUAUCGGCGCCAACCGCGCCUCGCCCGGGCCGUUGUGGAUUCCCCGCCCCACGGCCCUUUAUUACCUGCGUGUCGUUGUUUGGUCCGGCACGCUGGUAGGGUAACUUGGUUCUACAGGCUGGGCUUGUCGUUCCUUGGUUCAAGGCCGCUUGGCUCUAUAGGCUGGGCUUGUCGUUCCUUGGUUCAAGGUCCAUGUUUUCUAGCCUGCUGCCGCCUUUGCAGCCUGCUGCUCUAGGUCCAGGUUUUCUAACCCUUGCAGCCUGCUUUGAGUACUGUUGGCGUAGGCCCAUAUUUUCUAACCUGCUGUAACCAGCCCUAAUCGUGAGAGUAUUCGCUGGCACGACAAACUUGGUUCUUAAUAUAUCGGCGCCAACCGCGCCUCGUCUUCGGGCCUUGUGGCCCCUCUUCCCAGGCCCUCGACGGGCUGGCCUCUUCCUCGCCGCCAGCCCUAAAGAAGGGGUUUUCGUUUUGUUCGGCGGUUCUGAGCUCUUUGACUGUGGCUAGAGGGAGUGGAUGCAAAGCCAAGCUGACUACAGGAGGAUGCCCAAGGCUGGCUGCCGGCUUUGUAGCCUGCUUUGAGUACUCCGGCCCUACUGGGCCCUAGGUCCAUGUUUUCUAACCCUCGUAAGCUAAUGUGGCCUUCAGGCCACAUCCGGUGGUAACUGCUACCCCUCUGAGCUAAUGUGGCCUGAAGGCCACAUCCGGUGGUAACUGCCGGAGAAGACGAACUGUUCAGCGGAGGUCCAUGAUUGCAUCCGGUGGGAUUCGAGGAAGCCAAAGUAGCUUGGCUGAGUGAGCUACAGUAAAGGCCUAAGCGCUGAGAGUCCCCCAGGCCAACAGAGAGAAAAGAGGGGUUAGUGGGUGCAGACAGUAGAAGGGAGCUCAGCUAAGCCCUAGAAGCAGAGGCGUAGACAAAAUGGCCCCCAAUCAAAGGCCCAACCGGCCUAGGAGUUCAGAGCCGCCGAACAAAA
This is a long non-coding RNA of Sycon ciliatum, 1840 nucleotides long. RefSeq lists it as uncharacterized. The record is from RefSeq and is a predicted model, not a curated record. Lineage: Eukaryota; Metazoa; Porifera; Calcarea; Leucosolenida; Sycettidae. The transcript is spliced from 2 exons.